RNAcentral lists this long non-coding RNA (901 nucleotides) under Nicotiana benthamiana. RNAcentral describes it as "long non-coding RNA (NBEN_LNC038730)". Lineage: Eukaryota; Viridiplantae; Streptophyta; Magnoliopsida; Solanales; Solanaceae. The record is from RNAcentral.
UCGGUCUCACUCUCUCUCUCUAACCAUUCAGCUCCACCUUCUCUCUAGAACCUUCAGGUUCACCUUCUUCAACGCUCUCAUCGCCUCUCCUACCAACUUCAGCCUCGCCUCUUUCCAUCGUCAGCUGCUGUGAAACCUUAUCUCACCGUCUCCCUCCAUACUUGAAACUCCAAAAGUUUCCACCAUUCAAGACGGUACCUGGAAGCCUUGCUUAGCUUAUCUCUGGCCUACUCUCCCGUGGUUUUUCAGUCCGAUGGUGCUAUAUACACCAUUAUUAAAGAGUUUCAUGGCCAGGUUCCUUACCUUACAGAUUUUAUUUGCAAAAACCCUAAUUUUUGCCUAAAUCUCUUAAAUCCAUGUCUUUUAAGAUGAUUUCCAGUUUAUUCUUUCUAUUUUACACUACAACUCGAGAUCUUCAAUUAAUUCAAGUUUUUCAACGUUUGUUAUUUCUCUCAAAAAGCUAGGGUUUCCGAACCCCUUUUUCAAAAUUGCUACAUCUUCUGUUUCUUUAGAUAUUAUGUACGACUGUAUUAUGUGAUAUUUAUGUUGCAAGCUUGUUUGUUUCUGAGUUCCAUGCUUUAAACCUUUACUACGGUUCCGACUCGCUGGUGUUUUUGUGAUUCCUUACUUAGGGUUCUUGGUUUUGUGCCUAUUGUAUUUAAAUAGGUUUAAAUGCUUCUAUUUACUAAUUAUUUGUGUAUCUCUUUGAAUCCCUAAUUUGUAUGUUUUUUCUUUAAAUAUUCUUACACUGAUUUUUCGAAUUGCUGCCUUAAUUGUGAGAUGCUUUCUAUACUUGGUGUUGAUUCCCUCUGUUUUUGGUCUUGUCCGUGAUUCUUUGACUAAUUUCAGAGUUGAUUUACAUGCUUACCAUAUUUGUGUACUUAAACAUGUUAUUCGAAUG